CCAGGUCAGGACUGCCGAUGCGGAGGGUCCGGUUCCGAGGCAGCGGCUGGCCCGCUGCAGUCCCUCCAGGGGCCCAGCACCGUCCCUCGGCUGGCAGCAAGCGUGGAGUGUCGAGGCUGAGGACCCGGCGUGGGCAGCAGCCGGUGUCCCAGCUGAGCGCAGACCCGUGUUCUGGCAGGCUGGCCCAGCCUACAUAAAGGCCCACAGCACCAGGUGACGGCCACGUAGAGCUGGGGCGACGCUUUGCUCGACGAGGCCACAGAUGUGGUCAGAAUGAGUCGGCUGCAGCACGAGUUGCCAGCAGAAUCCAGAAACGAACACGAAACCGGCCACGAAGAAAGCUCAGGGGACCACAAGUGUGGAGGCGGGCGGCCCCCUAGGGGCGGGUGACGGCGCCGCGGUGGCGCUCUGCUGCCAGUCGUCGGCACGUGGCUGACGGAGCACCGGGCUGUCCCGGAGGCCGGGAUGCCUGGUUCCGACAGGUCACCGCAAAGUCCGGUGGUGGCCCCGUCAGGCGUGGAGAGUACAGUGCUGAGGCAGCUGCUGGUGCACCCCUACACUGUGCACUCACUCCAGCUGCCCAGCACGGCCUCUCAGCUGGUUGCUGCAGCCAGCAAGUGCGGUGUGUCGAGCCCGAAGACCCGGUGUGAGCAGCAGCUGGCAACUCAGCCGGCCACAGCUGUUGUGGCAGAGUGACACAGCUGCCCCAGCCUCAGGCAGUCACGCAUGUGCACAUAAAGCCUCAUACACACCAGGUGAUGGCCACGUGAAGCUGGGCUGGUGCAGUGCUCGGUGAGCCCAGAGACGUCGUCAGAGUGAGUCGGAAGCUCCACGAGUCGCCAGCAGAAUCCAGAAUCGACCUCGGAGGCAGCAGUGAAGGAAGUUCAGGAGACCACAAAUAUGGACACCCUCCCAUAUGCGAGUGACGCUGGCAGUGGAUGACGUGUGGCUGGUGGACACGAGGCUCUUCCUGUGGCCAGGAGUUCUGCGUCUGAUGCCACAUUCCGACGUGACACCCUGGUGGCUGGUGGUGGCACGAUCAGCCUCUCUGACGUGGAGCGUCCACUGCUGAGGCAGCUGCUGGCCCACUGCUGUACCCUGCAGACCCCCAGCUGCCCAGCACGGCCUCUCAGCUUCGGGCUGCUGCCAGUAAGUGUGGAGUGUCCAGCCUGACGUCCCAGUGAACGCGAGCCCGCAGCUCGGCUUGCCGUGGAGAACACGGUGGCCGCACUCAUUCUGGCACAGCCGCCCCCGCCUCAGGCAGGCCGCCAGUGCCCUCAUAAAGGCUCACACUCACCUGGUGACGGCCAUGCAGAGUCGGGCUGAUGCAGUGUCCAGUGAGACCCGAGACGAGCUCUAAGUGAGUCGGCUGCUUCACAAGUCGGCACUCAUUCUGGCACAGCCGCCCCCGCCUCAGGCAGGCCGCCAGUGCCCUCAUAAAGGCUCACACUCACCUGGUGACGGCCAUGCAGAGUCGGGCUGAUGCAGUGUCCAGUGAGACCCGAGACGAGCUCUAAGUGAGUCGGCUGCUUCACAAGUCGGCACUCAUUCUGGCACAGCCGCCCCCGCCUCAGGCAGGCCGCCAGUGCCCUCAUAAAGGCUCACACUCACCAGGUGACGCCCAUGCAGCGCUAGGCUGAUGCAGUGUCCAGUGAGACCCGAGACGAGCUCUAAGUGAGUCGGCUGCUUCACAAGUCGGCACUCGUUCUGGCACAGCCGCCCCCGCCUCAGGCAGGCUGCCAGUGCUCUCAUAAAGGCUCACACUCACCAGGUGAUGGCCAUGCAGAGCCGGGCUGAUGCAGUGUCCAGUGAUACCCAAGACGAGCUCUAAGUGAGUCAGCUGCUUCACAAGUCGGCAGCAGAAUCCAGGUGUCUGGUCACGGAUGGGGCAGAGGAGAACGUCGUGAACGGCUGGCAGGGUGAGAGCAGUCUGCAGUUGGCUGCACGCUGGGCUGGGGCAGCCCCAGCCGUCCCCCACCCCACGACUCUGGACAGGUGGACGCGCAGAGGUGGCGGCUGCGCUGCCCGAGGCAGGAGCCGUCGAGUGACCGGAGGACAACGCCCCUGGACUACGCAAAACAGAGCGACAAGCAGGAUCUCGUUAAUAUUCUAAUAUAUUACCGUCUUAUCUUAUUAAGGGAAAUAAGAUUCAGUUCACCAUUUAUCCUAACUUUUAAAAUAAAGACAAUAAAAACUUAA
Long non-coding RNA from Schistocerca serialis cubense, 2199 nucleotides. RefSeq lists it as uncharacterized. The record is from RefSeq and is a predicted model, not a curated record. NCBI's taxonomy places the organism in Eukaryota, Metazoa, Arthropoda, Insecta, Orthoptera, Acrididae. The transcript is spliced from 4 exons.